This 250-nucleotide ribosomal RNA is filed under the name uncultured bacterium. RNAcentral's name for it is "partial 16S ribosomal RNA". It matches the Rfam family "Bacterial small subunit ribosomal RNA", at positions 337 to 604 of the family's 1533-position model. The record is from RNAcentral.
ACCUACGGGGCGCAGCAGUGGGGAAUAUUGCACAAUGGGGGAAACCCUGAUGCAGCAACGCCGCGUGAAGGAAGACGGUUUUCGGAUUGUAAACUUCUAUCAGCAGGGAAGAAAAUGACGGUACCUGACUAAGAAGCCCCGGCUAACUACGUGCCAGCAGCCGCGGUAAUACGUAGGGGGCAAGCGUUAUCCGGAUUUACUGGGUGUAAAGGGAGCGUAGGCGGCGAGGCAAGUCAUAAGUGAAAGCCCG